UACGUAGGGGGCAAGCGUUGUCCGGAAUUACUGGGCGUAAAGGGCUCGUAGGCGGCCAACUAAGUCAUACGUGAAAUCCCCCGGCUUAACCGGGGAACUGCGUCUGAUACUGGAUGGCUUGAGUUCGGGGAGAGGGAUGCGGAAUUCCAGGUGUAGCGGUGAAAUGCGCAGAUAUCAUUUGGAACACCAAUGGUGAAAACAGCUCGCUGGGAGUGUGCUGACGCUGAGACACGAAAGCCAGGGGAGCGAACGGGG
Molecule: ribosomal RNA, 255 nt
Filed under: uncultured bacterium
Lineage: Bacteria
Description: partial 16S ribosomal RNA
Rfam family: Bacterial small subunit ribosomal RNA
Source: RNAcentral